This 515-nucleotide ribosomal RNA is filed under the name uncultured bacterium. RNAcentral describes it as "partial 16S ribosomal RNA". It matches the Rfam family "Bacterial small subunit ribosomal RNA", at positions 28 to 523 of the family's 1533-position model. The record is from RNAcentral.
GAUGAACGCUGGCGGCGUGCCUAAUACAUGCAAGUCGAGCGAAUAGAUUAAGAGCUUGCUCUUAUGAAGUUAGCGGCGGACGGGUGAGUAACACGUGGGUAACCUGCCCAUAAGACUGGGAUAACUCCGGGAAACCGGGGCUAAUACCGGAUAACAUUUUGAACCGCAUGGUUCGAAAUUGAAAGGCGGCUUCGGCUGUCACUUAUGGGUGGACCCGCGUCGCAUUAGCUAGUUGGUGAGGUAACGGCUCACCAAGGCAACGAUGCGUAGCCGACGUGGGAGGGUGAUCGGCCACACUGGGACUGGGACACGGCCCAGACUACUACGGGAGGCAGCAGUAGGGAAUCUUCCGCAAUGGACGAAAGUCUGACGGAGCAACGCCGCGUGAGUGAUGAAGGCUUUCGGGUCGUAAAACUCUGUUGUUAGGGAAGAACAAGUGCUAGUUGAAUAAGCUGGCACCUUGACGGUACCUAACCAGAAAGCCACGGCUAACUACGUGCCAGCCGCCGCGGUAA